ACACAAGGAGGGGUAGCAGCAACUUCUAAUUGGUGGUACAACCAAAUAUGGACAUUUCAUUAGUAACUUCUUAUCUACUCUUAGGAGACCUUUUAGCUACAAUUCUCACAAAAAAUCACAUUUCUUUGGCCAUUGAUAAGUGUGUUUAAGGUGCUUAUGGCUUAUCUAUUGCCUAAGUAUGUUGUUAGUCCCUCACUUUUUGUGUUUGAACUGUUUUCUUGUUAUUUUCAGGUUUUUGGAGCUAUUUUGGGUGGAAAUAUUUAUGAAUGAGGUACCAUGGGAGGAGCCAAGAAGGUUGGAGGGAGAAGGACUUGAAGAAUUGAUACAAAAGUGAUGGAAUUUGGAGUUGGUGGGAUGUGCAAAAGCAAGGCAUACACACACUUAAGCCAAUGCAAGAAUUUUGGAUAAUUGAGCACAAUGAGUGAACACAGAGGAACACAAGACUUUGUGUAUGUAAAGGCUUUGGCAUCCAAAAACCCAAUGCAUAUAGCCUACACAUGGAAUCUGCGAAG
This 512-nucleotide long non-coding RNA is filed under the name Vitis vinifera (wine grape). RNAcentral's name for it is "long non-coding RNA (VVIN_LNC004213)". The record is from RNAcentral. Lineage: Eukaryota; Viridiplantae; Streptophyta; Magnoliopsida; Vitales; Vitaceae.